AAAGAAAGAGAGCGAGUUACAUGUGGACUUGGGAGACCACCACUUCCGGAUCCUCCACAGCGCCGGACACUGCAGCAUUGCGCACCACCCUAGUGGAAAAGGAAAUGCAUAGUUAGACCAAAUGACAAUUUUACCCCUACUCAUGUGAUUUUGUAACGUUGUAUGAUUUUUUUUUUAUUUUAUUUAUUGUUAAACAGUAUAGAAAAAAAAAAUAUAAUCCUAUAUUUUACAAUCAUCAUAUUUAAUUAUAAAUGAUAAAUUCUUGCAAUAAAAAAAUUAAUAAUUAAAUAAUUAAAUAUUAAUUUUAGAUUAUAAAAUAAUUAAAAUAAAAUUACCGGAUAUAUAAUUCCUAAUUCUCGGGACAAUUUACACCGCUCGAGGUGGUCGGUCGCAUAAAUACUAGAUUGCGUUUUUUUCCUGUUUUUCUUGGAAACAGCGCCGAGGCGAGGGAAAUUUCUCCCGCGUCUUUUUAUCCGAGAAAUGUUACGUGAACCGCGCUCGCCACGUCAUCCGUGGACCAAUUUUCUAAGUAUUAUUUUACAUCGUUUGGAAGGAAAAUAGUAAGUUUUGAAUUUUAAAAAUGUAAUAUUUAAAUAUUUGUUACUUGUCAGUGGUGCAGAGUCCAAAUUUUUUUAUUGACAAAAAUAUGGCGGUCCACGGAUGAGUUCGUAGAUUUGGUCCACAAAGAUGAUCUUGCUGUUGAUUGACCUUGGGUAGUGCGGUGACUUGAAAUGACCGAAAUGCCCUCCAACGAAUUACCCAUUCGAGAGUGGCGGAGAAAGCGAAAUUAGAAAGCGAAGGGAAACUAACAAAACGAACGCAACGAAUUCAACGGCGGAGAUGUGAUCUCCCCCGAUCUGGACGGCUAUAAUCCAAUCCGAGCUCACACAGCCCAUCCGAUAAAGCAAAAUCAACGGCCGGGAUCUCCCCUCACGAGAAAAGAUCGGCUCAAAUCCACCGUCCAAAUACGAAAAGCUCUAUAAAGCUACUACACUAACCUCUCCGCCGCCGCGGCCGUUAAUGGCGCCGCCUCUCGGAGGCUCCUCCUCGAACCCGCUCCUCCCCUAAUAACCCUAGAUCCAAGAAAAAAAACCCAAGAUCAAGCCCUAGAAACCCUAGAAUCUCCCCCAAAACCCCUCUUAGGGCUUCAGGAGAAGCCACAUUACUCACAUGUGGGACAUUUCGGGUACGUACCUCGACACGGCAAGCUUAUCGGCCCCGAUCCACCCGAUUCCUCCGCCGCCGAUGAGCACGAGGAGUACUCCGACGAUCGCCAACGGUAGCCACCUCCGCCGCCGCUCCGCCGCCUCCGCCGCCAUUGUUUCCGGUGAGUCUCUCUUUCUCUCUUUAGCUCUCUCUCUCUCUCGCUCUCUCUCUAGAGAGAGAGAGGGCUUAAAAUUUUGUACAAAGAAAGAGGGGGAGGGGAGGUGAGGUGUUAAAGAAAAAAGCGCCGAGGGUAGCGGCGAUUUAUAGAGAGUUGUUCUCCU
RNAcentral lists this long non-coding RNA (1487 nucleotides) under Ananas comosus (pineapple). Its description in RNAcentral is "long non-coding RNA (ACOM_LNC037118)". Lineage: Eukaryota; Viridiplantae; Streptophyta; Magnoliopsida; Poales; Bromeliaceae. The record is from RNAcentral.